GAUUCGAUCUUUUCAAUGAUUAUGUUCAUUUCCUUUCAAAGUCGACUGGAUACCUUAAAUCCAAAGGUGAUGAAUAUUUUUUCAGAACAUUCCCAUGGUCUUUCAAUUUCAAUCCGAAGGAGGAGACAUCGAAGGCAGUUGUAUGGAUUUCUCUUCCAGGUUUACCACCAAAUUUAUUUGCUAAGAGGCCUUUAAUGUCAAUAGCUUCAGCUGUUGGAAAACCUCUUAAAUUUAUUUGCUAAGAGGCCAUUAAUGUCAAUAGCUUCAGCUAUUGGAAAACCUGUUGCUGUUGACAAGGCGACACAGGACAGAUCGAGACCUAGUACAGCAAGAGUAAAGGUUAUAGUAGAUCUUUUGGAUAAACACCCUAAAAAGAUCAUACUGCAU
This 387-nucleotide long non-coding RNA is filed under the name Nicotiana benthamiana. RNAcentral's name for it is "long non-coding RNA (NBEN_LNC017169)". The record is from RNAcentral. Lineage: Eukaryota; Viridiplantae; Streptophyta; Magnoliopsida; Solanales; Solanaceae.